CUUAAAUUUUAUCAUUGGUAGCAAAUACCCUUAGUUUUCCUUACAGUGACAUUCACUUUAUUCAUGUUUGAGAAAAUGCCUGUCAGGUACCCAUGUCUGAAUACCCUAGCUUGUCUCACAGUUCAGAACAGCCUCACAAGUGCUUUUCCUCAAGACAGCAACCAUACUUUGUUAUCCCCAGAAGUACUUUGUGCACACUUCUCAUUUCUUCAUACAGAAUAUUCAAGAGUCAAGAUUUAAAAUAAGUAAAUCCACUGCCUUAUGAAGAACAUUGAAUAAAACUUCCCCUUCAACUGCAAGGAAGACAAUUUCAUUUUCCAGCUGACCAUGAAGAAGAACACCGUGGCUACUGGUGCCUUGAUGGAAUCUCAGGUGCUUUUAUCCAUCAUUGCUUUUUCCUUUUUCCUUGUGGGGUCUUACUGUGUUGCCCAGGCUGGCCUUCAACUGCUGGCUCAAGGGAUCCUUCUGCCCUAGCCUUUGGAGUAGCUAGGAGCACAGGCAGACACCACCAGAUCUUGAACUCCAUCAUUGUUUUGUGGCCGCCAGUGGGCAUGUCCUUAGUGGAAAAGGUAAUACCACCUUAGUACAUUAAGACAAUGUGUUGACUUUGCCAAUCCCAUAAACAAAAACAAAAACAACAACCAAAAAACUGGAAGUCUGCAGACCGUACCGCUGUACUUUGAGAACUGUUGUCUUAAACUUUCCUGAUUAAUUUAGAUUUAAUUGCAAGCAAUGAAACCCCCAAAUAAUAGUGGCUGAAACAAAAUAGAAACUUGUUUCUCAUGGAAAAUUGUAGCAUUUAUCCAGAGCUGGAUUAAGUGUUACACUCCAGAAAGUGGUCAGAGGUCUAGAUUCCUGCCUUGCUUCAUCAUGUAUAGCUUUCUUCUCAAAAAUCACUUCAUAAUGGCUGCUUUAGCCCAAGUCAUCACAUCCACAUUAUACCCAGGAAGGAGAAACCACAAAGAAAGAUAAAGGGGCUUGGAGCAACUUUUAAAUUGCCACACAACGUAUCUGUCAGACUUCUGACAAUGAACACAUUGAGCUAAAAAAAAGUCAAUACCUCCAUUAUGUAUGGCUAAGUGUAUAGCCAAAAGCUGGAAAAAGGAAUCUUGGGUGAUAAUUAGGUGUCUAUUACAGUUUACCAUGUUAGCUACCAAGUAUUCAUUCCUUACCUUUCCCCCACUGAUAAGACACCUGUCUGUUCAAGUUUCCAUGCAGUGACUGCAUUUACCUCUGGAAAUGCACCAUUCUCUCUAUUCAGUCUUAAAGUGACCACUUGGUAUUAGAUGACUUAUAAAUGAAAAAAAUAUCUGCCCCUACAUACCUGUAUGUAAUAACGAUUUCCAUUCAGAAGGGAAAGAAUGGGUAAUCCAACUGUUAGUAGUGCCUAGCAAUAGUCAAAUCCAUUACCACCAUCCCUUAGCAGAAAAGCUCAGUAAAAUACAGAACUCAUCUGCUUAAAGGAAGUAAAAAUCCAACGAGGCACAUCACCAAAGAGGAGCAGACAUUUUAGAGUUGAGCUGACUUCUAUGGCUGCAUUUAUCUUGAGGGAAAAUCAAUUCUCGUUGCAGCCAGGAGGCUAGAAAUUUUGCUUCUUUAUUUUGUAAAGCUAGCUGCUAAGGGACAGAAACCAAGAGAGUUUUUGGUAAAGAUAUGGGGGAGCCUCAAGCCUAUGUUAUUCCCCAUGAAAAAUUUUGUAAAAUUGUGGAGGUGUUUAGGAUGGAGUACAGAACAUAAAGCCUCACAAAACAAACAUGAUUCAGGACCUAGCAAGAGAGGUCUGGAGACACGUAGGUGAUCUUUACUAGGGAAUUUGGGGCCAGAGACAAAUCAAAGGUAGACUGAAACUUCUGCCAAGAUUUGAAACUCUGAUUUGCCAGGUUGGGUUUAAUUAAAUUUAUGAACCUAACAGGAGGAAGGAUAAACUUCUCUGGAGGAAGAUGUCACCAGAACCCUGUAACAUUUAUAUAUAUAACAUCUGGAAAUGAAUUGAAGAUUCUAAGGCAUGCCAACAACAGGAUGACAUGAUUAACAUCUAAUAGAAAAAUAUAGACAAGAAAUAGACCUACGCAUGAUCCAAACAUUGACAAGAACUCUAACUAUAACUAACAUGUUUGAGACAAUUACAGAUAAAACAAAGACUUUGAUUAGAAAUUUAUAAAAGUGAAAUGGGCAUUCUAUAGCUGAAUAUGGUAUCUGGAAUUGAGAACACAUUAGAUGGAUAUAAUAAUGGUUUUGGCAAAAGAUAGGAUUAGUGAGUUAUCAGUUCAGUAAAAAAAGCACACUGCAGCCUGAGAAGAAAAUAAUGGAAGAGGCAAGAGCUUUGGAGGCAGGUGAACACAAAAGACUUUUAGAAGUAAUAAAUUAGAAUCUCUAAGGAUGAGGUAUGAGUCAUUUGACCAAUUCCAAAAAAUAAGAAGGACAAAAAAAAAUAGAAUUACAGUAAGCACGUCUUAUAAACCAAUGGAAAGUUCAAUAUGAAACAUCUUAAAGCUACCAAGGAGAGGGGAAAAGAUGUGUUUUUUCAAAGCAAUAGUAGGUCUUCUCUCAUAGAAACAAUGAGAACCAAAAUGACAAUAAUACAUUUUAAGUACUUAAAAGAAAAUAACUGUCAAUCUAGGAAUCUGCACCCAGCAAAAACACCCUUCAAAAAGAUGAGAUAAAGCUAUUUUUUAAAAAAACAAAACCAGGGUAAUUUGUUGCUAGCAAACUUAUAAAUACUGAUCAAAAGAAAGCUAACAAUUUUUUAAAUUUAUUUUUUUUUUUUAAAAAGAGAAUUUCUUUUUAAUAUUUAUUUUUUAGUUUUUCAGUGGACACAACAUCUUUAUUUUAUUUGUAUGUGGUGCUGAGGAUCGAACGCAGCACCAUGCGCAUGCCAGGCAAGCGCGCUACUGCUUGAGCCACAUCCCCAGCCCAAAAAGCUAACAAUUUUAUCCCAAUAUCAGACAAAGUGGUUUGCCUUCUUAUUUACUCAACACUGUCUUUGGUUGAAAAAAAAAAUCCUUAAUUUUAAGUAAGUCCAUUUUUUUCCUCUCUCUGAUUGGUAUUGUUUGUGUCUAGAUGAACGGUAUCAACUUUAAAACAAAUCAAGUCUUUGUAUUCCCCCCUUCAAAUAUGUCCAUGUUCUAAUUCCUAAAAUUUGUGAACAUGCUACAUUAAAUUAAGGUACUGACUUGGUAGAUUAUCCUGGACUAUCAAAGCGAAAAAGGAAGGCAGAACAGUUACAGAGUUGCCUCAGAAAAAGAGGCAGGAGUGAUCCAAGCAUGAGAGGUAGUCCACUUGCUAUUAAUGCUUAGAAGAUGGAGGAAAGGGCCAUUAUCCUAGGAAUGUGGGCGGCUUCUGGAGACCAAGGACAGCUGUUGGCUGACAGCAAGGAAACAGGAACCUUAGUCCUACAACUGCCAGAAUGUGAAUUCUGCCAACACCUGAAUGAGCAAAGAUGUGUCUCCCCUUGAGACUCCUGCUGAUUCCUUGCUUUGGGCCUUAUGAGACUCAAAGCUGAGAAACCAGCCAAGUCUCCCAAAGUUCCAGCCUACAGGCCUGUGACUUAAUAUAUUUGUGUUGUUGAAGUCUAAUAAAUUUGUAAUAAUUUGUUAUGGCAAUAUAAAACUAUAACAGUAUAGGAAUCUUAUUUCUGGAUUAUCCUUUUCCCAUUGGUGUGUUUGGUAUGUUUUUCACCAGUUAAUAUAACCAUUGAAUGUUUUAAUUCAUAUACUCUGAGAUCUGGUAGUGUAAGUCUAUCAUUUUGUUUAACAUUGCUUAUGUUCUUCUUGUCCCUUUGUAUUUCUAUGUAAAAUUUAAAAUUGGCCUACUGCCUCCAAAUUAAAAAACAGAAACCCCAUACUGCUAUUUCUUAUUGUGAUUGCAUUUUAUCUCCAAAUCAGUCAAGGGAGGCUUGACAUUAUUUACAAUCUUGAGUCUUCUACUCCAUGAGCAC
Molecule: long non-coding RNA, 3937 nt
Filed under: Marmota monax (woodchuck)
Lineage: Eukaryota; Metazoa; Chordata; Mammalia; Rodentia; Sciuridae
Source: RNAcentral